ACUUUGGUGGCUAAGUGCGACAGGGUCGGGAGCCGCGGACUUCCCCCAGCAGUGUAGCGCCGCUCCGCCCCGGAGUGACGCCCUCCCGCCCAUGGGCCUGGCCCGGGGCAACCGGCGGGCGGCGCGGAGGAGGCGGCGACAGGUGGCGCGCAGCAGGGCCAGAGCCCGGUCAGGCUAUGGCCGCCUCGGAGCGGCUCUACGAGUUGUGGCUGCUCUACUACGCGCAGAAGGACCUUGGCUACCUGCAGCAAUGGCUGAAGGCCUUCGUGGGUGUCUUCGAGAAGACUAUCUCCUUGUCUUCUCUGGAGCCUCGAAGGCCAGAGGAGGCAGGUGCGGAAGUGCCUCUGCUACCCCUAGAUGCUCUACAUGUGCUGGCAGAGCAGCUGGACCAGGACAACCUGGAGCAAGCCCUGCUGUUGC
RNAcentral lists this long non-coding RNA (420 nucleotides) under Rattus norvegicus (Norway rat). RNAcentral describes it as "long non-coding RNA NONRATT029024". The record is from RNAcentral. Lineage: Eukaryota; Metazoa; Chordata; Mammalia; Rodentia; Muridae.